Collimonas fungivorans Ter331 is the source of this 67-nucleotide small RNA. It matches the Rfam family "Betaproteobacteria toxic small RNA". From Rfam's summary of the family: Overexpression in amino aid rich medium attenuates growth, suggesting role in repressing amino acid intake and metabolism. NCBI's taxonomy places the organism in Bacteria, Pseudomonadati, Pseudomonadota, Betaproteobacteria, Burkholderiales, Oxalobacteraceae. The record is from Rfam.
GGUCUCCUCCAACUCUCCCUAAGUUUUGGAUUUAGCCCGCUGCCGCAAGGCUGGCGGGCUUUUUUUA